CCUUCGGGGGGGSGUGCAGUAGGGAAUCUUCCGCAAUGGGCGAAAGCCUGACGGAGCAAUGCCGCGUGAGUGAUGAAGGUUUUCGGAUCGUAAAGCUCUGUUGCCAGGGAAGAACGCUUGGGAGAGUAACUGCUCUCAAGGUGACGGUACCUGAGAAGAAAGCCCCGGCUAACUACGUGCCAGCAGCCGCGGUAAUACGUAGGGGGCAAGCGUUGUCCGGAAUUAUUGGGCGUAAAGCGCGCGCAGGCGGUCAUUUAAGUCUGGUGUUUAAUCCCGGGGCUCAACCCCGGAUCGCACUGGAAACUGGGUGACUUGAGUGCAGAAGAGGAGAGUGGAAUUCCACGUGUAGCGGUGAAAUGCGUAGAUAUGUGGAGGAACACCAGUGGCGAAGGCGACUCUCUGGGCUGUAACUGACGCUGAGGCGCGAAAGCGUGGGGAGAAAACAGGAUUAGAUACCCCCC
This 461-nucleotide ribosomal RNA is filed under the name Paenibacillus mobilis. RNAcentral describes it as "bacterial SSU rRNA". Lineage: Bacteria; Bacillati; Bacillota; Bacilli; Caryophanales; Paenibacillaceae. The record is from RNAcentral.